RNAcentral lists this ribosomal RNA (253 nucleotides) under uncultured bacterium. RNAcentral describes it as "partial 16S ribosomal RNA". It matches the Rfam family "Bacterial small subunit ribosomal RNA", at positions 524 to 776 of the family's 1533-position model. The record is from RNAcentral.
UACGUAGGGGGCAAGCGUUGUCCGGAUUUAUUGGGCGUAAAGAGCGUGUAGGCGGCCUGAAAGGUCAGCUGUGAAAACUCGAGGCUCAACCUCGAGACGUCGGUUGAAACCAUCUGGCUAGAGUCCGGAAGAGGAGAGUGGAAUUCCCGGUGUAGCGGUGAAAUGCGCAGAUAUCGGGAAGAACACCCGUGGCGAAGGCGGCUCUCUGGGACGGUACUGACGCUGAGGUGCGAAAGCGUGGGGAGCGAACAGG